This 443-nucleotide ribosomal RNA is filed under the name uncultured bacterium. RNAcentral's name for it is "bacterial SSU rRNA". It matches the Rfam family "Bacterial small subunit ribosomal RNA", at positions 957 to 1393 of the family's 1533-position model. The record is from RNAcentral.
UAACGCGAAGAACCUUACCAAGGCUUGACAUCGCCCGGAAAGCAUCAGAGAUGGUGCCCCCCUUGUGGUCGGGUGACAGGUGGUGCAUGGCUGUCGUCAGCUCGUGUCGUGAGAUGUUGGGUUAAGUCCCGCAACGAGCGCAACCCUUGUUCUGUGUUGCCAGCAUGCCCUUCGGGGUGAUGGGGACUCACAGGAGACUGCCGGGGUCAACUCGGAGGAAGGUGGGGACGACGUCAAGUCAUCAUGCCCCUUAUGUCUUGGGCUGCACACGUGCUACAAUGGCAGGUACAAAGAGCUGCGAAGCCGCGAGGCGGAGCGAAUCUCAAAAAGCCUGUCUCAGUUCGGAUUGGGGUCUGCAACUCGACCCCAUGAAGUCGGAGUUGCUAGUAAUCGCAGAUCAGCAUUGCUGCGGUGAAUACGUUCCCGGGUCUUGUACACACCGA